GGUUACUGCUAUCGGAGUUCGAUUAAGCCAUGCGAGUCUAAAGGUUUCUUCGGAAACCUUGGCGGACUGCUCAGUAACACGUGGAUAACCUACCCUUGGGACUGGGAUAACCCCGGGAAACUGGGGAUAAUACCGGAUAGAUCAGGGAUGCUGGAAUGCACCUUGGUCCAAAGCUCCGGCGCCCAAGGAUGGGUCUGCGGCCUAUCAGGUAGUAGUGGGUGUAACGUACCUACUAGCCAACGACGGGUACGGGUUGUGAGAGCAAGAGCCCGGAGAUGGAUUCUGAGACACGAAUCCAGGCCCUACGGGGUGCAGCAGGCGCGAAACCUUUACAAUGUGCGAAAGCAUGAUAAGGGAACUCCGAGUGCCAGCAUCUAAUGUUGGCUGUCCUUGUGCCUAAAACGCACAAGAUAGCAAGGGCCGGGUAAGACCGGUGCCAGCCGCCGCGGUAACACCGGCGGCCCGAGUGGUAGCCGCUAUUAUUGGGUCUAAAGGGUCCGUAGCCGGUUCGAUAAGUCCUCUGGGAAAUCUGGUUGCUUAACAAUCAGACUGCCAAGGGAUACUGUCGAACUUGAGACCGGGAGAGGUAAGAGGUACUUCAGGGGUAGGAGUGAAAUCUUGUAAUCCCUGGGGGACCAUCUGUGGCGAAGGCGUCUUACCAGAACGGGUCUGACGGUGAGGGACGAAAGCUGGGGGCGCAAACCGGAUUAGAUACCCGGGUAGUCCCAGCCGUAAACGAUGCUCGCUAUGUGUCAGGUACGGUGUGACCGUAUCUGGUGCCGUAGGGAAGCCGUGAAGCGAGCCACCUGGGAAGUACGGCCGCAAGGCUGAAACU
This 835-nucleotide ribosomal RNA is filed under the name uncultured archaeon. RNAcentral's name for it is "bacterial SSU rRNA". It matches the Rfam family "Archaeal small subunit ribosomal RNA", at positions 21 to 856 of the family's 1478-position model. The record is from RNAcentral.